CUAAGGAAUAUUUCCGGCAAUGGACGAAAGUCUGACGGAGCGACGCCGCGUGGAUGAUGAAGGCCGGAAGGUUGUAAAAUCCUUUUAUGACUGAGGAAUAAGUGAAGUGAGGGAAACGCUUCAUGGUGACUGUAGGUCAUGAAUAAGCAACGGCUAAUUACGUGCCAGCAGCCGUGGUAACACGUAAGUUGCGAGCGUUGUUCGGAAUUAUUGGGCGUAAAGGGUAUGUAGGCGGUUCUGCAAGUCUGGUGUGGAAUGCCGGGGCUCAACCCCGGAACUGCGUUGGAAACUGCAGGACUUGAAUCGCUGAGGGGCAGCCAGAAUUCCAGGUGUAGGGGUGAAAUCUGUAGAUAUCUGGAAGAAUACCAAUGGCGAAGGCAGGCUGCCAGCAGAUGAUUGACGCU
This 404-nucleotide ribosomal RNA is filed under the name uncultured Treponema sp. RNAcentral's name for it is "bacterial SSU rRNA". It matches the Rfam family "Bacterial small subunit ribosomal RNA", at positions 354 to 747 of the family's 1533-position model. Lineage: Bacteria; Pseudomonadati; Spirochaetota; Spirochaetia; Treponematales; Treponemataceae. The record is from RNAcentral.